This 1448-nucleotide ribosomal RNA is filed under the name Salmonella enterica subsp. enterica serovar Hull. Its description in RNAcentral is "partial 23S ribosomal RNA". It matches the Rfam family "Bacterial large subunit ribosomal RNA", at positions 711 to 2141 of the family's 2925-position model. The record is from RNAcentral. Lineage: Bacteria; Pseudomonadati; Pseudomonadota; Gammaproteobacteria; Enterobacterales; Enterobacteriaceae.
AGACCCGAAACCCGGUGAUCUAGCCAUGGGCAGGUUGAAGGUUGGGUAACACUAACUGGAGGACCGAACCGACUAAUGUUGAAAAAUUAGCGGAUGACCUGUGGCUGGGGGUGAAAGGCCAAUCAAACCGGGAGAUAGCUGGUUCUCCCCGAAAGCUAUUUAGGUAGCGCCUCGUGAAUUCAUCUCCGGGGGUAGAGCACUGUUUCGGCUAGGGGGCCAUCCCGGCUUACCAACCCGAUGCAAACUGCGAAUACCGGAGAAUGUUAUCACGGGAGACACACGGCGGGUGCUAACGUCCGUCGUGAAGAGGGAAACAACCCAGACCGCCAGCUAAGGUCCCAAAGUCAUGGUUAAGUGGGAAACGAUGUGGGAAGGCCCAGACAGCCAGGAUGUUGGCUUAGAAGCAGCCAUCAUUUAAAGAAAGCGUAAUAGCUCACUGGUCGAGUCGGCCUGCGCGGAAGAUGUAACGGGGCUAAACCAUGCACCGAAGCUGCGGCAGCGACACUCAGGUGUUGUUGGGUAGGGGAGCGUUCUGUAAGCCUGUGAAGGUGGCCUGUGAGGGUUGCUGGAGGUAUCAGAAGUGCGAAUGCUGACAUAAGUAACGAUAAAGCGGGUGAAAAGCCCGCUCGCCGGAAGACCAAGGGUUCCUGUCCAACGUUAAUCGGGGCAGGGUGAGUCGACCCCUAAGGCGAGGCCGAAAGGCGUAGUCGAUGGGAAACGGGUUAAUAUUCCCGUACUUGGUGUUACUGCGAAGGGGGGACGGAGAAGGCUAUGUUGGCCGGGCGACGGUUGUCCCGGUUUAAGCGUGUAGGCUGGUUUUCCAGGCAAAUCCGGAAAAUCAAGGCUGAGGCGUGACGACGAGGCACUACGGUGCUGAAGCAACAAAUGCCCUGCUUCCAGGAAAAGCCUCUAAGCAUCAGGUAACAUCAAAUCGUACCCCAAACCGACACAGGUGGUCAGGUAGAGAAUACCAAGGCGCUUGAGAGAACUCGGGUGAAGGAACUAGGCAAAAUGGUGCCGUAACUUCGGGAGAAGGCACGCUGACAUGUAGGUGAAGUGAUUUACUCACGGAGCUGAAGUCAGUCGAAGAUACCAGCUGGCUGCAACUGUUUAUUAAAAACACAGCACUGUGCAAACACGAAAGUGGACGUAUACGGUGUGACGCCUGCCCGGUGCCGGAAGGUUAAUUGAUGGGGUCAGCGCAAGCGAAGCUCCUGAUCGAAGCCCCGGUAAACGGCGGCCGUAACUAUAACGGUCCUAAGGUAGCGAAAUUCCUUGUCGGGUAAGUUCCGACCUGCACGAAUGGCGUAAUGAUGGCCAGGCUGUCUCCACCCGAGACUCAGUGAAAUUGAACUCGCUGUGAAGAUGCAGUGUACCCGCGGCAAGACGGAAAGACCCCGUGAACCUUUACUAUAGCUUGACACUGAACAUUGAGCCUUGAUGUGUAG